UACGAAGGGGGCUAGCGUUGUUCGGAUUUACUGGGCGUAAAGCGCACGUAGGCGGAUCGUUAAGUCGGGGGUGAAAUCCUGGAGCUCAACUCCAGAACUGCCUUCGAUACUGGCGGAUCUUGAGUCCGGAAGAGGUGAGUGGAACUCCUAGUGUAGAGGUGGAAUUCGUAGAUAUUAGGAAGAACACCAGUGGCGAAGGCGGAGCUCGACUGGU
This 214-nucleotide ribosomal RNA is filed under the name uncultured bacterium. RNAcentral describes it as "partial 16S ribosomal RNA". It matches the Rfam family "Bacterial small subunit ribosomal RNA", at positions 524 to 733 of the family's 1533-position model. The record is from RNAcentral.